This 468-nucleotide ribosomal RNA is filed under the name uncultured bacterium. Its description in RNAcentral is "partial 16S ribosomal RNA". It matches the Rfam family "Bacterial small subunit ribosomal RNA", at positions 28 to 507 of the family's 1533-position model. The record is from RNAcentral.
GACGAACGCUGGCGGCGUGCUUAACACAUGCAAGUCGAACGGAAAGGCCCUGCUUUUGUGGGGUGCUCGAGUGGCGAACGGGUGAGUAGCACGUGAGUAACCUGCCCUUGACUUUGGGAUAACUUCAGGAAACUGGGGCUAAUACCGGAUAGGAGCUCCUGCUGCAUGGUGGGGGCUGGAAAGUUUCGGCGGUUGGGGAUGGACUCGCGGCUUAUCAGCUUGUUGGUGGGGUAGUGGCUUACCAAGGCUUUGACGGGUAGCCGACCUGAGAGGGUGACCGGCCACAUUGGGACUGGGAUACGGCCCAGACUCCUACGGGAGGCAGCAGUGGGGAAUAUUGCACAGUAGGCGGAAGCCUGAUGCAGCCACGCCGCGUGCGGGAUGACGGCCUUCGGGUUGUAAACCGCUUUCGCCUGUGACGAAGCGUGAGUGACGGUAAUGGGUAAAGAAGCACCGGCUAACUACGUG